CGUGUAGGCGGUUUGUUAAGUCUGUAUGUGAAAGCCCCGGGCUCAACCUGGGAAGUGCAUUGGAAACUGGCAGACUUGAAUACGGGAGAGGGCAGUGGAAUUCCUGGUGUAGGAGUGAAAUCCGUAGAUAUCAGGAGGAACACCGGUGGCAAAGGCGGCUGCCUGGACCGAUAUUGACGCUGAGACGCGAAAGCGUGGGUAGCAAACAGGAUUAGAUACCCUGGUAGUCCACGCCGUAAACGAUGAGUACUAGGUGUUGCGGGUAUUGACCCCUGCAGUGCCGCAGCUAACGCAUUAAGUACUCCGCCUGGGAAGUACGGUCGCAAGACUAAA
RNAcentral lists this ribosomal RNA (333 nucleotides) under uncultured bacterium. RNAcentral describes it as "bacterial SSU rRNA". It matches the Rfam family "Bacterial small subunit ribosomal RNA", at positions 568 to 898 of the family's 1533-position model. The record is from RNAcentral.